AGUGAACGCUGGCGGUAGGCCUAACACAUGCAAGUCGAACGGCAGCACAGUAAGAGCUUGCUCUUACGGGUGGCGAGUGGCGGACGGGUGAGGAAUACAUCGGAAUCUACUUUUUCGUGGGGGUUAACGUAGGGAAACUUACGCUAAUACCGCAUACGACCUACGGGUGAAAGCAGGGGAUCUUCGGACCUUGCGCGAUUGAAUGAGCCGAUGUCGGAUUAGCUAGUUGGCGGGGUAAAGGCCCACCAAGGCGACGAUCCGUAGCUGGUCUGAGAGGAUGAUCAGCCACACUGGAACUGAGACACGGUCCAGACUCCUACGGGAGGCAGCAGUGGGGAAUAUUGGACAAUGGGCGCAAGCCUGAUCCAGCCAUACCGCGUGGGUGAAGAAGGCCUUCGGGUUGUAAAGCCCUUUUGUUGGGAAAGAAAAGCAGCAGGUUAAUACCCCGCUGUCCUGACGGUACCCAAAGAAUAAGCACCGGCUAACUUCGUG
Molecule: ribosomal RNA, 492 nt
Filed under: uncultured bacterium
Lineage: Bacteria
Description: partial 16S ribosomal RNA
Rfam family: Bacterial small subunit ribosomal RNA
Source: RNAcentral